Molecule: non-coding RNA, 76 nt
Organism: Potamilus streckersoni
Lineage: Eukaryota; Metazoa; Mollusca; Bivalvia; Unionida; Unionidae
Source: the annotation of a GenBank genome assembly
CGUCUCAGUUGGCCAAGUGGUUAGAGCGUCAACCUCGGAAUCUGGAGGUCGCGGGUUUGAAACCCGGCCGAGUCGU